UACAGAGGGGGCAAGCGUUGUUCGGAAUUACUGGGCGUAAAGGGCGCGUAGGCGGCCUGUUAAGUCGAACGUGAAAUCCCCGGGCUCAACCCGGGAACUGCGUCCGAUACUGGCAGGCUUGAAUCCGGGAGAGGGAUGCGGAAUUCCAGGUGUAGCGGUGAAAUGCGUAGAUAUCGGGAAGAACACCAGUGGCGAAAGCGCUCUACUGGGCCAUAACUGACACUGAGGGACGAAAGCUAGGGGAGCGAAAGGG
Molecule: ribosomal RNA, 253 nt
Filed under: uncultured bacterium
Lineage: Bacteria
Description: partial 16S ribosomal RNA
Rfam family: Bacterial small subunit ribosomal RNA
Source: RNAcentral